UACGUAGGGGGCUAGCGUUGCUCGGAAUUACUGGGCGUAAAGCGCACGUAGGCGGAUCUUUAAGUCAGGGGUGAAAUCCUGGAGCUCAACUCCAGAACUGCCUUUGAUACUGAGGAUCUUGAGUUCGGGAGAGGUGAGUGGAACUGCGAGUGUAGAGGUGAAAUUCGUAGAUAUUCGCAAGAACACCAGUGGCGAAGGCGGCUCACUGGCCCGAUACUGACGCUGAGGUGCGAAAGCGUGGGGAGCAAACAGG
RNAcentral lists this ribosomal RNA (253 nucleotides) under uncultured bacterium. RNAcentral describes it as "partial 16S ribosomal RNA". It matches the Rfam family "Bacterial small subunit ribosomal RNA", at positions 524 to 776 of the family's 1533-position model. The record is from RNAcentral.